UAUUUACAUUAGUAGGCAGAGA
Molecule: microRNA, 22 nt
Filed under: Drosophila ananassae
Lineage: Eukaryota; Metazoa; Arthropoda; Insecta; Diptera; Drosophilidae
Description: Dan-Novel-3_3p (mature (guide))
Source: RNAcentral